RNAcentral lists this ribosomal RNA (370 nucleotides) under uncultured cyanobacterium. Its description in RNAcentral is "bacterial SSU rRNA". It matches the Rfam family "Bacterial small subunit ribosomal RNA", at positions 384 to 770 of the family's 1533-position model. Lineage: Bacteria; Bacillati; Cyanobacteriota. The record is from RNAcentral.
UGACCGAGCAACGCCGCGUGGGUGAUGAAGGAUUGUGGUCUGUAAAACCCUUUUAUCAGGGACGAAUUUUGACGGUACCUGAUGAAUAAGGAUCGGCUAAUUCCGUGCCAGCAGCCGCGGUAAUACGGGGGAUCCGAGCGUUAUUCGGAAUUAUUGGGCGUAAAGCGUACGUAGGUGGUUUGCCAAGUCUGGGGUUAAAGCCCGCAGCUCAACUGCGGAUCAGCCUUGGAAACUGGCAGACUCGAGUACAGAAGGGGUAAGGGGAAUUCCACAUGUAGCGGUGAAAUGCGUAGAUAUGUGGAGGAACACCUGUGGCGAAAGCGCCUUACUGGUCUGUAACUGACGCUGAGGUACGAAAGCUAGGGGAGCA